GUGGUAAUGCCGGAUGCUCCAUCACACCGCAUGGUGUGUUGGGAAAGCCUUUGCGGCAUGGGAUGGGGUCGCGUCCUAUCAGCUUGAUGGCGGGGUAACGGCCCACCAUGGCUUCGACGGGUAGCCGGCCUGAGAGGGCGACCGGCCACAUUGGGACUGAGAUACGGCCCAGACUCCUACGGGAGGCAGCAGUGGGGAAUAUUGCACAAUGGGCGCAAGCCUGAUGCAGCGACGCCGCGUGAGGGAUGGAGGCCUUCGGGUUGUAAACCUCUUUUGUUAGGGAGCAAGGCAUUUUGUGUUGAGUGUACCUUUCGAAUAAGCACCGGCUAACUACGUGCCAGCAGCCGCGGUAAUACGUAGGGUGCAAGCGUUAUCCGGAAUUAUUGGGCGUAAAGGGCUCGUAGGCGGUUCGUCGCGUCCGGUGUGAAAGUCCAUCGCUUAACGGUGGAUCCGCGCCGGGUACGGGCGGGCUUGAGUGCGGUAGGGGAGACUGGAAUUCCCGGUGUAACGGUGGAAUGUGUAGAUAUCGGAAAAAAAACA
This 540-nucleotide ribosomal RNA is filed under the name Bifidobacterium breve. RNAcentral describes it as "bacterial SSU rRNA". It matches the Rfam family "Bacterial small subunit ribosomal RNA", at positions 160 to 710 of the family's 1533-position model. The record is from RNAcentral. Lineage: Bacteria; Bacillati; Actinomycetota; Actinomycetes; Bifidobacteriales; Bifidobacteriaceae.